Long non-coding RNA from Paramisgurnus dabryanus, 259 nucleotides. RefSeq lists it as uncharacterized. NCBI's taxonomy places the organism in Eukaryota, Metazoa, Chordata, Actinopteri, Cypriniformes, Cobitidae. The record is from RefSeq and is a predicted model, not a curated record.
AAAAAACAACACUUUUGAACUUUAAAAUUUUGUUUUAGAUCUGCACAGCUUACUCAAUUCCAAAGCUUAGGAGAAAAGGAUCAAAAAAAAGCUUGCACAAUUCAUAGAAAUGAACUUGUCAAGAUGAGGGUCAAAGAAAAGUUUGAACAUUCUGAAAUACGGAAAAAAUUCAGCUCAGAUAAUGAUUUUCUUCAAGUUUUUACUGUAAGUUCCUGUGCAUUUUUUGAUCAAGAUUUAAAUCUGGAACCUAAUGAAACAG